UCCACCACCUCACAUAAUUUCCGUCCACACCUUUCGAGGCUGUGCAUUGGGUCGGCGACAGUAGCGAGAGCUGGCGGCCAUGGAUGAGAUGAGAGUGGGACGAGCAGCCGUGGCCGCGGCUGCGGAGUCGCUUUUGGAGGCUACGUCGGCGAGCCGUGCUCUCGACUCUGUCAAAGACCCCCGCAUCUCCCCGAGGUUCAUCUUCUCCACACUCCUAGCACUAGUACUUCCGUCAGAACUCGGAAUUACAAAAUUCAGGCUUCAAUUCAAUCCUUCCUCACUUGGGAAUGAGAAGAAGUACUCCUAGCACUAGUUAUGUAGUAGGAAUUCAGAAAUCUUGGAGUAACUUGAUCUUGGAAUACCCCUAGCACUAGUUCAUUCAGAAUUUAGAAAUCCUAGCACUACCUACUACUCCUUCAACCCGGAUUCAGAACUCAGAUUGCGUUGUACUCCAAGGAUUUAGAGUGAAUUAACAUGUGAUUGCUUUAGGCGGUAUGAUGCGUUAGAUGGUAAGGCAGAGAGUUGAUUAGGCUACAUUGUUACCAAUUUGAAUUCUUUUUUUGAUGGUUAUUCAGGAAAACAAGUCGUAAGCAUUUCAUUUAUGACAUGUUCAUACUCCUGAAUUUCAGAGUAUGAUUGUAGCAUGAAACAAGUUCAGAGUAUUCUUGUUACUCCUGAAUUUCUUUUAGAGAACAAUGCAGGAGUAGAAGUUCUUUUUUUUUAUUAUUCUUGUUAGAGAACAAUGCGAUACAAUUUGGGCAUUUGGUUUUGUCCAAUUGGUGUGUUAUUCUGAAAUGGCCAUUAGGUUCAGAGUACUUGGGUUUUGUCUGUUAUUCUGAACUUGCUGAAGAACUAAUCCUAGAGAUGGUGGUCUGUGUGAAUUUUCUGAGAAAUCGGAGUAAGAUGUUUUCUCGAGUAGAUAUCAGUAUAAUCCGAUUUACAGCAUGCAUAGAUUUUUUUUUUUGAUAACAGGUAAUUUGAUUACCCGGCUUUUGGGAGAAAGCCAAACAAAACAAGGUCUGAAUACAAAAAAAAACUUAAAGGAAAAACAGAGUAAAACUGGGGCUGCCAGUACCCAUCACGCGCUAGAAAACUAAACCCCAAAAGGCUUACAAACCCCGCCAAGAAGUAUCCAAACGACUAGGAAAUCUCAAACCCCUAAGAGCAACAUCACUGGCUUAAGCACUAAUAUUGUCCGGUAGCACAUUCACAGGACGUAGAGACUCCAGCUUAGCCUUCAGCUUCUCAAGCAGCGCGUUCAAAGCUUCGCGAUCUCUUUCUUUUGACAGCAGCACCUUCCAUCUCUGCAUCAAGGAAAUUGCCUUGUACACUACCUACAAAGGUGAUCUCACUAAUUUAUUCUCAAAAACAAAGUCAUUUCUUACCAACCACAAACCCCAGCACAGACUAGCACAAAGAAAAAGGCCUAAAUUCACCCCCAAUUUAUUAUCCUUAACAGCUCUUAUACCAUCCCAAAAAUUGGUUGGAAUUAACCCCCCCCCCCAAUUACCUCCAUUACAGAGCACCAAGCAAAGCAAGCAAUAGGACAAGUAAAAAGAGCAUGGUUAGUAGAUUCAGUUCUCAGGCAUAAUUUACAAAAUUUAGUACCCCCUUCCAAUUUCUCUGAACUAAGAGUUCAGCACAAGGUAUUCUCCCUCUCCCAGCCAAAAACAAGAAAUGCUUGACUUUUAAAGGAACUUUGCACCCCCAAAUCUCUGUUAUCUCUUUGUCCACAACACCCCCAAACUUUAACAACCUAUACAUAGAUUUAGUAGUGAACUUCUUAUUCUUCUCAUGAGGCCAAAUUAAGCUAUCAGGCAAAUCAUCUAGCCUCACAUCCUGCAGCAAACUUUUCAAAACGUCUAAUUGAGCCUUGUCAGACUGGUCCAGAUUUCUUCUAAAGGACAAAUCCCAAUUAGGGGCACCCAUAACCUCCCUAACCGAAAGAUGUUGUUGAUUAUUCACCAUAUAUAAGGAAGGAAACAAAAUUCUUAGGGGAACAUCUCCCAACCAAACAUCCUCCCAGAACUGUGUUUUUUCUCUAUUACCAAUCUUCUUAACUACCAAAUAGUUUAACCAGACUUUGCACUCAUGAAGGCCUUUCCAAAACUGGGACCCCCCACUAGCAGAACUCUUGAAAAAACUGCCCCUCCCUAAGUACUUAUUCCUAAGAACAACACAGCUCAUGUCCUGAGAGUUGCCUUCCAACUUCAUGAUCCAUUUACUCAACAGGCAAAUAUUCAUGGUCCUAGUGUCCAAGAAACCCAAGCCACCAAAGUCUUUAGGUCUACACAAGCCUUGCCACUUAAUAAGGUGAUAUUUCUUCUUCUUUCCAUUCCCCUGUCAAUAGAAUCUCCCCCUUACAGUGUCUAAAUUUUUGUGAAACUCCUCAGGAGGCUUUAAAAAACCCAUAGCAUACAUUGGGACACUGGACAGACAGGUAUUGAUCCUGAUCUCCCUCCCCCCAUAGGAGAGAUGACCACUGUGCCAAGAUUGCAAUCUUUUCUCUAUUUUUUGCAUGAUUGGAAGCAAGUCCCUUUUCCCUACCUUACCAACCCCCAUAGGCAAACCCAAGUAAGUAAAAGGAAGAGAACCCACUUUACAAUUAAGCAUGUCAUCAUACGAUUCCUCCUCAUCCUUUGGAACCCCCAACACAUAAACCUCACUCUUCUGAUAAUUGAUUUUCAUUCCAGACAUCUCUUCGAAACAGAACAACAAGAAUUUCAAGGCUAACACAUUUUCCUUAGUAGCUUUAGUAAAGAGAAUAGUGUCAUCAGCAUACUGGAGAUGAGUAAGACCCCCUGGAACCAGAUUAGGAACCAACCCCUCCAAAACCCCAUUACUGUUAGCACCAUCCAGAAUAACUGACAAAGCAUCCCCUAUUAGAUUAAAUAAGAUAGGAGACAGAGGAUCCCCCUGCCUCAGACCCCUAAAAGUCUUGAAAAAAGGUCCAUGUUCCCCAUUAAUAUUUAUACUGACUCUACCCCCCUUCAGUGAUCUUCUUAAUCCAUUCAAUAAAAAUGCUGUUAAAAUUCUUCUUCUGCAUCACCUCAUAGAGAAACCACCACUGCACCCUAUCAUAAGCCUUUUCAAAAUCUAUCUUAAAGAUAACACCUGAUUCUUUCUUUUUAUGGAGCUCAUGCAAUACCUCAUAGAGAAUUACACACCCAUCCAAAAUAUACCUUCCAGGAAUGAACGCAGUCUGUGUCCAGUUAAUAAUCCCCCCAAUCACACUAGUUAUCCUCAUGGUUAAAGCUUUAGUUAGAAUUUUCAGAAUCACAUUUUGAAGACAAAUGGGUCUAUAUUGCUUUAUUGUAUUAGCAUCCUUAAUUUUUGGCAGUAGAGAAAUCACCCCAUAAUUUAUUCUAUCACUGUCUAAAAUUCCUUUCUGAAGAUCAUCAAGCAUCUCUUUGAUCAAACCCCUAAAUUCAGGCCAAAGUUUCUUAUAGAAACCCACUGGAAAACCAUCAGGUCCAGGGGCAGUAUUUGUUUUCAUACUUUUCAUGACCUGAUCAAUUUCUGACAAUUCAAAAGGUUUCAUCAAGCUUUCAUUAUCCCUCUCAUUCAAACUUAACCUGUUAGCCCAAACCCCCUGCUCCAAAUGAAUGUUUCUCAGUUCUUCCCUCCCAAACAACUGUUUGUAAUAAUCAUAAAUAUGAGUCUGUAUUUGUUGGAAAUCUGAAAUAACCUCCUCCCCUUGCUGUAUAGAGAAAAUGUGACUUUUCCUAUUCCUACCAUUAGCAAUCCUAUGGAAAAAAGAGGUAUUGCUGUCCCCCCUUAACAACCAUUGUUCACCCCCUCUCCUUUGCCACCACAGUUCUUCUUGUAGAUAGAUCUGCUCUACUUCCUUUUCCAGCUCAUAUCUGACCUCCCAUUCUUGAGGAAACAAAUCCCUCUCCUUAGCAAUGUUAUCAAUUUCAGUCAGCUUUUGUUCUAUCUCUUUCCUUCUCUUUUUCUGUUUGCUCACCAUAUUAGCACUCCACCCCCUUAACCAUCUCCUCAGAUAAGGCAUAAGGAGAUGCCAGUAAUCCAUUAUUUUGCUCUGUAUUCUGGCAGGCCACUUCUCAAGCAAUUCUUUCUUAAAACCCUCCAGCUCAAACCAACCCAUCUCGAACCUAAAAUUGUUUCCCCUAACUCUCUCCCCCUCCCUAGUGUCUAACAGCAAAGGGCAAUGGUCUGAGCCAACCCUCAAAAGAGAACUAACUAUGGCCAAAGGGUAUAAAUGAUCCCAACUAGAGGUCACCAGGAUUCUAUCUAGAACACAUCUGAUGGGAUUGAUUUGCUUAUUCGUCCAGGUGAAUUUCCCCCCUAACUUAAACAGUUCUUGCAACUCAUAAUGAUUAAUAAAAUUAUUGAAAGCCUCAGUUCUUCUCACAUCCACCCCACCACCACCAGAUUUCUCAUCUAGAUAUCGAUACAGAUUGAAAUCACCCCCCAGAAUCAUAGGAUAAACUCCUUGCUGUACUUUGUUGCCAAUUUCAGCUAGGAACUCCCCCCUAUGUGCCUGUUGAGCAGGACCAUAAACGUUAAUUAGCUCCCAAUUCUGUCCAUCCUUCUUAUUUUUAAUCACCAUUCUUAAAGAAAAGGCCCCUUGAUCCCAAUCAACAAUAUCAAACAACAACUCUUUAACCCCAGUCAUAAUACCACCAGAGUGACCCACAGCUGCCACAUAUCUCCAAGUAAAGUUAUCUCCCACCAGAUUCCUCAAUUCCCUAUCAGUAAAACUUUGCUUGAUUGUCUCCUGAAGGCAAAUUAUAUCCACUUUUUGUUCAAAAACCAUCUCCCUCAACUGUCUUUGUCUACCUGCAGCCCCCAAACCCCUAACAUUCCAGAACACCACUCUCAUGAUUUAGACUUCUUUCUAGGACGCCCCCUCUUUUUCGGCCCAGACCCCUUUUGCACAGAUUGUUUCCCUUUCUUUUUCUUCUGUCUUAGACCCUCAUGGUCAUGCAAGUCAAAAUCCCCCAGGUUAUCAAAACUCUCUUUAUCUGCAUCAUCCAACUCAUCCCUAUCUUCCUCCUUCAGACCCUCCAUAUACUGAUCAUUCUCCAUUUCUAUCACAGGAACCCCCAGAAUCGCAUUAUUCUCAUUGGGGUACAGCAUGCAUAGAUAUCAGCAUUCUCGUAAGAUGUUUUUGAAAUUUAGAUUUCCAUACUCCCUAAUUGUACAUGUAAAAUGUAUUUGAAAAUACACACUAAUAAAAUGUCUGCUUGGAUUAGUUCUCAUGUUGCUUUCACAGAAAACUAGAGUAUCAAUGGCUUGAGUUUCUGAUAUCUGAAUAUUUACUGUAACUGUCUAUUGUCUGCUCAAUAUGUCUUCUGCAGAGUGCGUAAGAACCAUCUUUAUCUUUAAUUCGAUCAAUUUCAUCUCAUUCAGAGUUCUUGCUUGGAAUGUGCUAUUCUUGGGUCAAUUGCAUUCAGUCACAUUAAGUUGAGCACAAGCACAUGCCAUGGAAAAAAAAGAAAGAAACUUGAAUGGCUCAAGUUGUCACAGAGUGGAACUCCAAUAAGUACUCCAAGAUAGAAUUUCAGGAAUAUCAUCCUCAUGUGGUUUUCAACCCAAGCACAAAUUGAAAGAACAUUGAAACCUUAAGAUAUUAUCACUGAAUUAUUGCCAAAUUAGACAAAGAGUACACUAUUUUGAAGGUGCUAACUUCAGAUGGAGUACACACUAUUUUGUCAAACAAGCUUUGUUCUUGGCACAAGCACAAGCUUCUAGUGCUGUUGAAUUGAAGUGACUGGAGCAUCAAUCGGCUUCUACUAUGGUAGAGUUCCUAAGCUGCUUCAAAACUUAUCUUAAAAACUUGUAUGGACUUCACUUCUGCCUAGGCACCUGAACUGCCGCUUGAUUCAAUGGAUAGCUGUUACUGUUAGACAACACUUGCAUCUAACAUUUGUAUCUGACAUUUGCAUUGGUAGUACACACUCUCUCUCUCUCUCUCCUUUUUACGUUGGUAUCUGACAUUUCCAUUUUCUGUCAUAUUUUCAGCUGUUCUGAAGAAUACAAGUCUGAAGAGCUACUUUCAGGUCAGUGAAACCACACUGACAACCAUUUUAGAAACAGAAUUGAAUUGCCCUGAUUACCGCUUGAUGCCUUGAAGCAUAUACAAUCAAAGUUCAAACAGAUGUGGCCAUCAUAUAUGUAUAUGUAGCACAGUUUGAUUCCUCUUUGCUAGUCAAAAGAUGGUAUCAUCAAUCAAUAAUAGUUACAGUAUUGAUUCCAUGGAGUAGUAGGAUUACAACAAUUAAGGACGAUGAAGAGAAAGGGGUGGCUGGCGAUACACAUAGAGAGGCAAAGCAGGGGGUAGCUUAGUUACAACUUACAAACGAAGCUCUGAUCGAUCAAGUCUGAUUUGAUUGAUGCAGCUGAAGAAGAAGAGGAAGAAGACGACGAUGAUGAUGCAAUCAGCUGCUGACGUACUUGUCGAUGAUGGUGGCGAGGGUGGUCUUGGGGACGGCGCCGAUGACGCUCUCCU
RNAcentral lists this long non-coding RNA (6475 nucleotides) under Oryza sativa (Asian cultivated rice). Its description in RNAcentral is "long non-coding RNA (OSAT_LNC000105)". The record is from RNAcentral. Lineage: Eukaryota; Viridiplantae; Streptophyta; Magnoliopsida; Poales; Poaceae.